UUGUCAACGAAGUUAGCCCAUUUAGUUUGAACAACGUACAACUUUAUCAAAAUUUGAGGGAUCUAAUGCGAUAAGUAGUGAUGAUUAUUUUGGCCGUUCAAACAAUAAAACACGUUCUGGUUCAUAUACAAGUGGCUUGUCAAAUGUUACUGCCAAUCUGUAUGACGUAAAAGAAGGUGUUCGCGAUGGAGUGAGUCGAGUUGCUGGUCGUCUCUCUUCACUUGCUACAGAUGUUAUGUCAUCCUUCCAGGAGAAAGUUGGAUAUUAACAGGUUUUCCAUGAGUCAUGAAAAACUCGGUCCAGUUGUUUUAUGGUUCAUCAAAAUGCUUAAAAGUUGGCAAUGGUCUAUUUUAUUUAUAAUUAUGUUCAUGUUACACAUCCAUUUUAUCUGAUGUCAAUAAUAAAAGAUCUUGCAAACAAUUUUGA
Non-coding RNA from Tetranychus urticae (two-spotted spider mite), 426 nucleotides. The record is from RefSeq and is a predicted model, not a curated record. Lineage: Eukaryota; Metazoa; Arthropoda; Arachnida; Trombidiformes; Tetranychidae.